GUGACUAAUCCGCUAUACGAUCCUGGUAAAAACUAUCGUUUUGAUUUCGCUUCCUCUGGUAUGCGCGUCUUAAAGGUUGCUGUAGAUAUUCCGCCUCUUCAAUUUGGUGGAGUUAGUUACUUUUGAUAACGCGAUUGCUGGGCAUUCUUAAGUAGUGUCACUUAUCAGUUCUUAAAUGCAGACACAAAGCCCUUUCCAGAACAGCAGGUGUAACAAAUAAAUCGAUGGUUUAAUAGCACCUGAUAUCAUCAGUCAGUUUUAUUCAUAUUGGACAAAGGGGAAAAACUUCUUCUCUCCGAAAGAGGCAGCCAAGUUAACCUGGCUAUUUUAAAAGGAGGUAUGUAAUUUGGAUGUUGUUGACAGUCUUUGUAUAUGUGGAGCUUAUAUUUUACUAUAGCUGUUCCGAAUAAAUUGCACUGGUGUCAAAAGUAUUCACAUUCAUUACUCAAGUAGAUGUAUAGAUACUAGGGUUUAAAAAGACUUUUGUAGAAGUUUAAGUAUCAACUUAAGUUUUUUACUCUAGUAAAAGUGUAAAAGUACUGGUUUCAAAACUACUUAAAGUAUAAAAGUAAAAGUAAUGCAAGGAAAAAAAAAUGCCAUUAAGCACAAAAGCUUAGGUUGCGCCACAGGGGCCUAUUGUGCACUA
Long non-coding RNA from Cyprinus carpio (common carp), 646 nucleotides. RefSeq lists it as uncharacterized. The record is from RefSeq and is a predicted model, not a curated record. Lineage: Eukaryota; Metazoa; Chordata; Actinopteri; Cypriniformes; Cyprinidae. The transcript has 3 exons.